GGAUGAACGCUGGCGGUAUGCCUAACACAUGCAAGUCGUACGAGAGUUUUUAACUCUAGUGGCGGACGGGUGAGUAACACGUGAGAAUUUGCCUUUAGGAGGGGGGACAACAAUUGGAAACGAAUGCUAAUACCCCAUAUGCUUUAGAGUGAAAUGGAUUUUAUCCGCCUAGAGAGAAGCUCGCGGCUGAUUAGCUUGUUGGUAAGGUAAGAGCUUACCAAGGCGACGAUCAGUAUCUGGUUUGAGAGGACGAUCAGACACACUGGAACUGAGACACGGUCCAGACUCCUACGGGAGGCAGCAGUGGGGAAUUUUCCGCAAUGGGCGAAAGCCUGACGGAGCAAUACCGCGUGAGGGAAGAAUGCCUAUGGGUUGUAAACCUCUUUUUUCAGGGAGGAAUAAAAUGACGUGUACCUGAAGAAUAAGCAUCGGCUAACUCCGUG
This 443-nucleotide ribosomal RNA is filed under the name uncultured bacterium. Its description in RNAcentral is "bacterial SSU rRNA". It matches the Rfam family "Bacterial small subunit ribosomal RNA", at positions 27 to 507 of the family's 1533-position model. The record is from RNAcentral.